CUUCAUUAGGUUGUGUUUGUUUCAAAGGACUGUGAUGCCCAACCUUAAUUUCUAUAGGAGUCCAGGACUACUAUAACUUGACUUAAGCUAGAUUAGUACCUGACACAUAAUUCCCAACACAAUUUCUCACUGCUCCUCCCUAGCUUCUGCUGAUCUUAGUAGAAACAAGUCGGUUGGGAAAACUCCGAAGCAAUCGGAGGCAAUUUCUGGUGUUUAGCGACAAACACCCAACCUGAAAGCACCUCAAAUCAAACAAGGGUUGCAAGUCUGCUUCUUUUUCUACUCUUGAGAGUUUCCACAGAGAAAUAAGGAAUCGAUGAGAAGAAGAGAAGAAAUUGAAAACCCAAACGAUCCAGACGGAGCUGAAUUGCAUGUAAGGAGCUGAAAAUGACGAGGCGAGGCUGAAGCGAAGAAUGGGCUUCCACAGUCCGAUGCUUUUUGGGGUUGAGUGUGUUUUUGGGACUCCAGAGUCUCAGUUAAUAGAGUCCCGAGUGAUGCCAAACACGGGAUAAGUCUUGUUAUAUGAGAUAAGCCUGCCCUAUCCCAUCCAGUCCCAUGUAACAAACCAUAGAUAAGUUAUUUGUCAAGUCCCAGUUGGCCAAACAGAAGAUACUGAAAUGGAAGACUCGGCACAAUCCAGAGCAACUCCCACAAUUGAAUUGCAUGGCGAUGAAUUCUGGCCACUUUCAGGGAAACCUUUCUUUGAUAUCAUACUCACAAAAUCCCAUGUCAAACCCCUUUACCAAAUGGAGAUCCCAGCCAAACUGAAUCCAGUAUUACCCGCUGGUGCUUCAGUUCCUAUGGUUCUCAGCUUUGGGGACAAGAGCUGGGAUAUGACAUAUAAUGAAACAAAACGUCUUAAAUUAGUGGAUCGACAAUCUUGGAGAGCAUUCGUCGAUGACAACAGUCUGAAGGCUGGAGAUGGAUGUAUUUUCGAACUAACGGGGUGUGACAGUACAAAAGUAGUAUUUAAGGUCCAAAUCCUCAGAGGUGACAUCCCAGCUGAGCUAGUAGAGAAGUACUCCGGCGAGACAGAGAAACCCAUUAUUAUAUAAUGAUGUUUCCUUUCCGUGGAAUCGUGGAUGUACCAAUUUCCUGACUCACAGAAUUGGUCAGGAGCUAAUAUAAUGUAAAGAGCUCAGUAGUCUAUUCAGAAUACUGCUCCAUUUUAAUAUGUUUAGAGCUAGAGAGGUGACAUCCAAGCUGAGCGUCUAAAGAAGUUCAUCGGUGAGGCAGAGAUCGAUUGAAUUUCUUGUAAUGUAAGGGGAAACUUGUGGAUGAAGAGUCGACUUCAAGUUAUAUGUAACUUCUUAUUAGUUAUACUUUGUCAGGGAUAACAUCUACCGGCAUUUACACAUUACUAUGU
This is an RNA transcript of Rosa rugosa (rugosa rose), 1366 nucleotides long. It is a transcript of the gene named B3 domain-containing protein Os04g0386900-like, with no coding region annotated. The transcript is spliced from 4 exons. The record is from RefSeq and is a predicted model, not a curated record. Lineage: Eukaryota; Viridiplantae; Streptophyta; Magnoliopsida; Rosales; Rosaceae.